Molecule: ribosomal RNA, 807 nt
Filed under: Frangula rupestris
Lineage: Eukaryota; Viridiplantae; Streptophyta; Magnoliopsida; Rosales; Rhamnaceae
Description: eukaryotic LSU rRNA
Rfam family: 5.8S ribosomal RNA (bases 364-519)
Source: RNAcentral
CUGCCCGCGACGUCACAAGAAGUUCUCUGAACCUUAUCAUUUAGAGGAAGGAGAAGUCGUAACAAGGUUUCCGUAGGUGAACCUGCGGAAGGAUCAUUGUCGAAACCCUGCACAGCAGAACGACCCGCGAACUUGUAAAACCAACUCGGGGGACGAGGGGCCCUACGGCCCCGGAUCUCCUUGGCUUGGGAGGCACCAUCACCGGGCGUCGCCGGUCGACGCGCGUUGGUGUUGCCUUCCCAGCCGCACAAACGAACCCCGGCGCAAAACGCGCCAAGGAACUUGAACGAAUCAGCAAUAUGCCCCGGCGCCCCAGAGAUGGUGUGUGUUCGGGGUGUUGCGUCGUAUUCUUUAUGUCAAAACGACUCUCGGCAACGGAUAUCUCGGCUCUCGCAUCGAUGAAGAACGUAGCGAAAUGCGAUACUUGGUGUGAAUUGCAGAAUCCCGUGAACCAUCGAGUCUUUGAACGCAAGUUGCGCCCGAAGCCAUUAGGCCGAGGGCACGUCUGCCUGGGCGUCACACAACGUUGCCCCCCCCCUCGACCUCGAGGAGGACGGGGGGCGGAUGCUGGCCUCCUGUGCGCCACGGCUCGCGGUUGGCCCAAAUGCGAGUGCUCGGCGACGAGCGCCGCGGCAAUCGGUGGUUGUCCAACCCUCGGUGCCAUGCUGCGCGCGCGAGUCGCUCUCUGUGUUUACUCGACGACCCCCAAUGCGUCGCAUCCGCGACGCUCACAACGCGACCCCAGGUCAGGCGGGGCUACCCGCUGAGUUUAAGCAUAUCAAUAAGCGGAGGAAAAGAAACUUACAA